UGAUGAUGUCACCAGAACAGAAACAUAAAGGAGUGAUUGCUGCAUCAGCUGGAAACCAUGCACUGGCUUUGAGUUACCACGGGCAGAAACUAGGUAUUCCAGUGACAGUCGUGAUGCCUAUUAUCGCACCAAUCAUGAAGAUAACUAUGUGUGAACAGUUUGGUGCUAACAUCAUUAUUAAGGGAGCUGACAUUGGAGAGUCGAAAGAACAAGCAUUACAACUUGCCAAGGAAAAUGGAUUGUUAUAUGUGAACGGGUAAGUUUUUAUCA
Molecule: unclassified non-coding RNA, 270 nt
Filed under: Limulus polyphemus (Atlantic horseshoe crab)
Lineage: Eukaryota; Metazoa; Arthropoda; Merostomata; Xiphosura; Limulidae
Description: l-threonine dehydratase catabolic TdcB-like, transcript variant X3
Source: RNAcentral